CCUACGGGUGACUGCAGUGAGGAAUAUUGGUCAAUGGGCGGAAGCCUGAACCAGCCAAGUCGCGUGAGGGAAUAAGGCCCUACGGGUCGUAAACCUCUUUUGCCGGGGAGCAAGGUCGGGGACGUGUCCCGGCCCGGAGAGUACCCGUAGAAACAGCAUCCGCUAACUCCGUGCCAGCAGCCGCGGUCAUACGGAGGAUGCGAGCGUUAUCCGGUUUUAGUGGGUUUAACGGGUGCGUAGGCGGGCUUUUAAGUCAGCGGUAAAAAUUCCGGGCUCAACCCCGACCGGCCGUUGAAACUGGGGGCGGUGAGGGGGCGAGAGGAAGGCGGAAUGCGUGGUGUAGCGGUGAAAUGCAUAGAUAUCACGCAGAACACCGAUUGCGAAGGCAGCCUUCCGGCGCCCUACUGACGAUGAGGCACGAAAGUGCGGGGAUCGAACAGGAUUAGAUACCCUUGUAGUC
Molecule: ribosomal RNA, 460 nt
Filed under: uncultured bacterium
Lineage: Bacteria
Description: partial 16S ribosomal RNA
Rfam family: Bacterial small subunit ribosomal RNA
Source: RNAcentral